ACUGAGGAAAGUCCGGGCUUCGCAGGGCAGGAUGCCGGAUAACGUCCGGUGGAGGUGACUCCCAGGCCAGUGCAACAGAAAUAUACCGCCGGCAGGGCUUAUGUCCUGCCGGUAAGGGUGAAAAGGCAGUGUAAGAGACUACCGUCUUUGUGGUAACACAAAGAGCCAUGUAAACCCCAUCCGAAGCAAGACCAAGACGAGGACUAUGGGCCGGCCCGGUCCGUUCUCAGGUAGGUCGCUGGAGGCUGUCGGUAACGGCAGUCCAAGAUAGAUGAUCAUCCAAGACAGAACCCGGCUUACAGCUCUGCUUAU
Molecule: RNase P RNA, 312 nt
Filed under: bovine gut metagenome
Description: Bacterial RNase P class A
Rfam family: Bacterial RNase P class A
About the family: Ribonuclease P (RNase P) is a ubiquitous endoribonuclease, found in archaea, bacteria and eukarya as well as chloroplasts and mitochondria. Its best characterised activity is the generation of mature 5'-ends of tRNAs by cleaving the 5'-leader elements of precursor-tRNAs.
Source: RNAcentral